Non-coding RNA from Glossina austeni, 46 nucleotides. NCBI's taxonomy places the organism in Eukaryota, Metazoa, Arthropoda, Insecta, Diptera, Glossinidae. The record is from Rfam.
GAAAAGGUUUCUCUGGAAACCAGCCACGUAUGAUAUAAAAUUUUUU